RNAcentral lists this long non-coding RNA (1584 nucleotides) under Gossypium raimondii (Peruvian cotton). RNAcentral describes it as "long non-coding RNA (GRAI_LNC007763)". Lineage: Eukaryota; Viridiplantae; Streptophyta; Magnoliopsida; Malvales; Malvaceae. The record is from RNAcentral.
GUUGACAUAGGAAAAUAAUACUUAUGACAUUGUUUUACUUCUAUGCUUUUACAAAUACCCAUUCUACAGUUCCAACGAGAAAAAAGGGGGAAAAUGGCUGAGGGAAAAUGGAGUCCAAAUUUCAGUAGUCCCACAAUUUAAUUAAGUCCUUUGUUACUUACAUUCAGCUUCUCACACCAUGUCUGCAAAACUGUAGGAAGCUCUACUCGAAUAAUGUGCAGAAUUGAGUGAUUUAUUUUCCCCUUCGCUUUCAGACAAACGCGUACAGCAUCUAAUGUCUUCAGGGGAUGAACCCUUUGCUGUCCUUUUCAAUCAUCUCUGUGAAUAACUUGAGGGAAAACACAGUUAUUUCCACUUGUCUUUGUCAAUGUAACAAAUAAUGAUCCGUAUUUAUCUUUCCUUGUUUUGUUUUUUUCUAAGUUUUUUUUAAUUUAUUAUUCUUGCCGAAAUUUUGGAUUUCAUUAACUUCUGAAGUUCAUCCAAUGAAUUAAAAAAAUGAAUAUAAGGACAUUUUCAAGCUAAAAGAGAGUAUUUAAACUAUUGAUUUGGUCGGUAAGAUAUGGAACCAAAGAAAUCUUAUGUAUGGAAUGUUUGAAACUACGAAUCGCUGGCUGGGGGGUUGAGGAUCAUUGUACAAUUCCAUAUAACCACUUCCAUUCUCUUCGCUUUACUUUUUUAAUUAUUAUUUUAACUCACCUUAAAUCCCUGGCAAAGACUUAGGUUGUUUGUCUCCAGCCAUUCCUUGUUUUGCCCAUUACAUGCAUGCACAGACAGACAAGGGUGCAGAGAUACGCAAAAGCUUAUCCCGAAUCCAGCUGCAGAACAUAGCCCAGAAGAGAGUAGAAUAAUAGUUCAUGAAUUAGAUGUGUAUAUAUAUAUAUAAUAUCUCCUUCAAUGAUAAAACAAAGGGUCUAUACUCUAUACAGUUACUGAGAUUUAAAUCUCACCUAUAAGAAUUAAUGAAAAUGAUCCAUAUAAAGCUCUCCGUUUUCACUCUUUUGACGGUCUGGGCCAAAGGCAAGCUGGUGUAUAUUUAAUAUCCAUUAAUACUACUAACAUUAACAAUAUAUAAUAUGUAUAUCAACAAACUGAAAGUGGAGAAUCACACUCUGCCCAAGAAGCUUAUCCUAUCCCUCUUUCAUAUCUUAUCUUUUCCCACGCUCAACUUGUGGGGUCUUAACAUCGAGAACUUCGAAAGAUCACACCGAUCAAGCACCAUCCUUUCUCACUCAGAGUUCAUGUCCCUUACAAGCAAUAAUUUUCUUAUACCCUUUUUUAUAUCAUGACAUGCAUGUUCGUACACUUUCGUAUCAAGACACCAACUGCUAUAAAAAUGGCUACACCAUCUCAAUAUCCAUACAUUUCAGCUUAAGAAAUAAAUAACAUCACUAAACCGCCUACCAAGACUUCGACCAACCCAAGCUCAUAACCUCUUAGGCCUUAGUUACGUAUCAUGUCAACCAAUUAAUGCUCCCUCCAAAAGCUCUCUCUCUCUCUCUCUUUACUGCUAUAUAACCCUUUCAGUUCCAUCUGUUUCACUACCCAAAUCUCCAUUUCAGAUUACAUGUGCAAGUUCCUUUUCCC